Long non-coding RNA from Ailuropoda melanoleuca (giant panda), 5081 nucleotides. RefSeq lists it as uncharacterized. Lineage: Eukaryota; Metazoa; Chordata; Mammalia; Carnivora; Ursidae. The transcript has 4 exons. The record is from RefSeq and is a predicted model, not a curated record.
AGAGAUCAGCAAGGAUUGGGGCUCCAGGAUUCCUGGCGGCUGUGACCAGCGGAGGAUCAAGCAUCUGCCAUUGGCCGUGGUAGUUUAUUUGGGUAUGUGAGCUGGAAGGAAACCAUGGUGACUGAUCUGAGCUUACUGGCACCUGGACGGACCUUGAGUGCCUCACAAAAAUAAGAAAGAAGCUAUAGUGUCGAAUCCUGGCCAUCCUGGAGCUCGCACUACGAUUGGACCUCUUCCCUUUCUACUCCAAAAGAAAAAGCAUAUGAUCAACUCCACUGAUGCAGAAAAAGCAUUUGACAAACUUCAACAACCAUUCCUAAUAAAAACUCACAUCAAACUAGGAACAGAAUGGAACUUCCCCAGCUUAAUAUGGAGCAUCUGUGAAAAACCUAGAGCCCACAUCAUACUUCCUAGUGAAAGAUUGAAUUCUUUCUCUCUAAGAGUGGAAACAGGAAGGGUAUCUGUUCUCAUCACUCUUCAUUAACAUAAUAUGGAAUUUAUAACCACAACACUAAGUGAUGCUGACUUUUCUGUUCAAAGAGGAAACCACUGACCAAGGAGGGACUGAGGCGGUUUCCAGUAAGGCAGAUGGAAGGAGAUAUCUCUUCCCAUGUCCAGGCAGUGACGCACAGAUCGAGGCUCAAAGCAAAACCAUCCUGAAGGUAAAUCACAUCCUGCUCUCGGCCUCUCUUUCCCCAUUUGGAAAUUCUUUCUUCAUACCUCCUCUACACUCUCCAGACCUUAACUUGAGCCUUUUUUGGAGGAGAUGAGGAAACAAUUGUGCUUGGUGUCUCUUGUGAACAGACAAGCUAUCACUGAGGUGCCUAUCCGCCUUUUUUCUAGGCUAACCAACCCCCUUCCCCUCAGCCUUGCAACCUAUGAUCUUUGCCACUCUUCUGUUCACAGCUGCCUCUCCCGGCUCAGUUCCCACAGUGGAGUUGGAUGUAGACGAAUGGAGAUAAAUCCUCCCCUUCUGCCCCCCAAAGUUUCAUUUAGUAUCUUCCCUUCCUUCCAUUCUCUCUGUCCCUUCCGAAGUUCAGACCUCAUCAACUCUUGCUUGCGUUGUGUGACUAAGACCUCUGUGGUCUCUCAUCUUCCUGCCCCUACGUAUAACCACCCACUGACUCCCUCCUUGACCAAAUCAUUCUUCUGAGGCCUCGUUGUGAUCCUGCCACUCCCUGGCUCGAAAGCCUUUCCCCUUGUACGUGCAAGAAAGUGCAGACUCUAUGGUCAUGCAUUUACUCCAUCCUCCAUGAGCUGGCCCCACUGCUCUCCCAGCCAACCCCCUUUGUGCUUCCUGUGGUCCAGUCCAGCAUGCUGGGCGCCUAACAUGAUGCCAAGAACCUGCAUACGUUUUCUGGCUUGCACACGCUCUCUGCCCGAACGUUCUUGCCCUGUCUCAGCUCAUCCAAGUCCUGGAUGUUCUACUUUUUCUCCAAAGCCUAGCUUGGUGUGCCUUCCUUUGCAGUUCUCCCCAGACAGAAUGAAUUAUUCCGUGCUACCCAGCCACAUAGUUUAUGUUUUUGUUUAUAUAACUUUUAAAGGUCUGGCUUAUAAUCCUUGGAUAUGGACCUGUCCUUCCCGCUAGAAGGCCCGUGCUUUGCAGACAAAGCUGGGCCCUACUGCUCCCAGUAAGUUCCAGGUCCCUAAUUCAAUGCAGGGCACUGCAGUAUGUGAUCUGCGCAUCUUGGUUGGAUCAAGUUUGCAAGAAUACGUGCCCCUGGGCAAGCUGUGUGCCCACAACAGUUUCCUCUGGUCAUGUGACUGCUGUUUCAGAAGAUGCGUGAGGUCAAAUGACUCAGCAAAAAUUUUGCAGACCAAAUGACAGGAAGUGAGGGCUUCAGAAGCAGACUCUAUUAACACUGAUCUAAAACACAUGUGUCUGGAGCCCCAGCGCCGGUGCGGGAAGAUUUUCCACAGCGUCUGCCAAGGGUCUGCAGCCUGAUACUGUGCCCCGGGAGAGGCCGACAAACCACAGGCUACCCCCAGCCCCUCUGGCAGCCGGCGCCCCUUCGAGGACACUUAGGAAGUCUGCAGAGCCUCGAGCAUGACAGAGUGCGCCUCCCCUAUCCAAGAAAUCCAUCUGCCUGGAUGUUCCAGAUAAUGGAAACUUGCCCCUCUAGGGCACCCAAACUUUUCAAAGUAAAAUCCAUUUUGAUAAACAACUUCCAAAAGGAAGAACACAACUCAACACUUUCCCAUCCUCUCUAGCCGUCAUGAGUGUUAUUUGACCACUUCUUGAUCGCUCUGGGCUGACAUCAGGUUUAUCACUUGCUGUUUUUCCCACAGGCUUGCUCUCCUCACUACUAUACCUUCAAAUCCUAGUUGUUACAACAAUACUAGCCAGCACUCAUUAGCCCUUCCUACCCGCGGCACACCAAGGGGCCCUCUACAUAAUUAUUUCGUUUUGGCUUCACCACGUCCCUAAGAGGUAGAUGUGUUCUUUCCCAGUUUUGAGGUGUGAAAACUGAGGAGCAGGGAGGGUAAGUCACUUGCCCACGGUUCCAUGGCAAGUCCAAUCAGGGAGAGCGCUCCCGACCCCGGCGAUGAGCUGCAGGGCCAGCACGGGCAAAUCCUUUCCUCCGCCGCUUCCCUCGGCACGGAAAUUAGGGGCCCGACUCAUCCAGGGACUUCCCUGGGUUUAGCACUGACAACUCUCAGUCCAGGAAAAAGCAUGAUGGUUGGUCACCCUAGCUUGAGAGCAAGAAAGCACUCACCAGAACACUUGGCUUUUGUAAACCAGACGUGCGAUUUCCGAUCAUCCGCCCCUGGCCAUUGAGGAUAGGAAAGGUGCCCAGUAACCCAGUCAGAACAGGAGGGCCAGGCAAAGAAACAGCCCCCCAAGACAGUUAAUAAUGUUGCCCUCCUCCAAAGCGUAUUUGUCCAACACAAGCAGAGGUGAGAAGUUUCUAUGAAUGAAAAUCAUAUACUUCUUUCUUUAUAUUCAAAACAGGAAAUGGCUACAUACACUUACUGUGGGCAGUUUCUAGGCCAGACUGUUUUGUGCGGCAUAUGAAAGAGCAUAUCAUUUAGGUAAUGAAAAAUAACCCCCUCGUUGCGGAGGAACAGCAUCUUAGAAGCCGUGCGCUCUGCGGCUUCACAGGUCCGCUGGCUGUGACUCACCUCCGCGCGGACGCAGGGGGCGGGGAGACGGAGGUCCGCCUGCAGAUGCGCCCGCUGCUUGCGUGGAGACAUCGCAGAAAGGAGGACUUCACCGAGAAGAGCGACAACGGUGACGCUGGCCUUCGAGAGCCUCUUGCUUCCGUAGGAACAGCUGUAAGUGAAACCCUGAGUCAGCUGCCAUCACAUUUCUAGUCUAUGCCGGCAGGGUUUUAAUGCUUAAACCUUGCCUGGGGCCUCCUCCUUCACCUGCCGGCUCUCUGGCCCAGGGAAAGUGGAUGGGCUUUGUGAUGGCUUUUUCUUCAAAGGCCUUUUCCAAAAAUCUGUCGUGGCUGGGAAAGCUCGGGUCAGUGGCAGCCUGGCUCCCAGAAGGGGAGAGUAUUUGGAGAGUGUUGCUUCCGCAGGACAUGAAGUGCUCCCCUGAGACUUCAAGAUUAACCUCCGGGCCGAACAAGAGCAGCGGCUUUCUGCCCCGCUUCCUGCGUCUGCACAAGCCCGGGCAUUACCUUGGCAGGAAGGCUUAACGUUUUGAGGAAAGCUGACCAGCCUAUUGGCAAGAUGGAUGCCGCUCUGUCUCCCCCAGGAGCCCUCAGCUUAUCUUGCACUUGAGCUUCCAGCAGGAACUGGACUCAGAGCCAUACCCUUGGGGCUGCCCUUGAGCCUCCCCAGAGGGCUGCGCUAGCUCCAGGCAACCGGUGGGCAUUUCAUCAGGCAGCCACCUUACUCUUCAGUCAGCUAAAUAACUUUUUUAGGAAUUAGAAACCAAAUGGUUUGAGGAUGCCAGAGAAGGUGAUGAAUUUGCUUUUCUUUAACUGUAUAAAAAAAAAAUUGUUCCAUGGAAAAUUCCAAGGGCGUUUUCAAAGGAAUUUGGAGUUCACAUUUCUGUUCAUUUUAUUUUUCAUUUUCUUCUUAAAUUCAGCUAUUUAGGAAAUUGCUUAUUAAAAGCAAAAAAAAAAAUUAAAUAACAGAAAACCAAAAGAUCAAAAUAUUUUCUCCCUUAACACCAAAUCUGAGUUUUCUUUCCUGGGAAGCUCGCAGCAGCUUCAGGGAGAGAAGUGGUCACCUCUCUGGGGAGUGCCAGUACGAUCUGGCUCAAUCCCUAUAAAUACUAUUUAGUUUGUAUUUUUCCCAACUUUCAACUCCCUGGCCCAUUCAUAGGCUUUUGGGUCUUUCAGGGAACUUCUGCAAUUUGCCACUGACACAGUAUUAAAAACUUACACAGGCAAACACCUUCGUACUGUGGUGGGAUUCUAGAUGGACGUGGCCGUGACCCAUGGCAAAGUUAGAGCCUGCAACACGGUCUGUCUCUGUAGGAGCGUGUCUUCCCCAGAGUGUUAAAUGAGCAUGCCAACUUCUUCUGUUCAGUGACCUCCGUGCCUGAAGAGAAAAACCUCCUCAGACCAUCCACUCUAUGGGAAUAUAGGAAGAGCAUGUGGACCAAAGUGAAUAGACUCAGAAAUGUAAAGCCAUUUUCAAAGUAAUAAAAUCUGAUUUCAAAUGAAUGAGAUCAAAACAAACUAUAAUUCAACUUAUUUGUGCAAGGCGUUAAGCCCCAAAGUAAUAACGAUAUCUUGAAAGUUAAAAUAUACAGAAGUGAGGACCCUUUACUAAUGGAUGUACAGAGAAAAAGCUAUAAAACCCUUGUUCUUUGGCUCUUUACCUUCAGUUUAAGGCAAGUGAGAUCUAGUCAUCCUCAUGAUUCAGAGAUUUCCGUAUUUGCAAAUGUACCUACUGGCUAAAAUGUAUCUGUUAUCCCCAAAUCAAUACUCCUGGUCCUUCUGUGGUCGUAAGAGACAGCAAAAAGUUGAAGUACUGAAGGCGUUCCCUUCUAGCGGAGGUCCGAGCAAGGCCGCCGAUCCACUUUCUUCUUUCCACUCUUUCUACAAACAAACAUCCUUUUCGCAGUCUAUUUAGUGUCAUAUUUUUCAUGGGUUUUUUUUAUUAAAGAUUUUAUUUAUUUA